RNAcentral lists this long non-coding RNA (1538 nucleotides) under Equus caballus (horse). RNAcentral's name for it is "lncRNA (ENSECAG00000030612.3)". The record is from RNAcentral. Lineage: Eukaryota; Metazoa; Chordata; Mammalia; Perissodactyla; Equidae.
CUCUCUCAGCUCAGUGCUCACCCUAUAGACACUGCUUAACAUUAUGUAUACUCUGUCUCAGCAGAAAUUAAAUGGUAUACGUUGAUCCAAAUAUACGGGUGCCUUAGAGCCUAGAAGUACAUUUCAUUCCAGCGGCAGACAGAGACUGAGGGUGAAUUUAGAUCAGCAGAAGGGGUCAUGGAAGACUUCAUAGAAGCAGUGACCUUGGAUCCUGGCCGUGAAGAAUGAGUAGGAUUUUACCAAAUGAGGGAGGGAGGACAGGCAUUCCGUAUAAAAGGAGCAGCUCUGACAAAAAGCCAGAGGAGACUGUGUGUGCAUUGUUUGGAACUGCUGAGUGGACUCUAUUGGGUAGAUCUGAAAGUGCGGGUUAGAGAGUAGCAGAAGAAAAGACUGAAAAGUUGGGUAAUAGUGAGAUCAUAAAUAUGGUGACAAUAAAACUUUUUGAAAUUGGAACACCUUUGAUACUAAACAGGGGUGCUUUAAAUAAUGACACUGACGUGACAGAUUUUACCUGGGACUUUCCUAAGUAAAACAUAGUAAGUGAUCACCUAGUCAUAAAGAGCCUGGAAUGUUAUGCUAAGGAAGUAACUGAUACCUUUAGUCAUAGAUACAUUUUUUAGACAGAUUACUCUGACAGUAGAGUGGAAACACGUGUCAACAAAAAAUUGAGAAUGACAGACCUAUUGAAAGGCAGUUUCAAUGAAACAGGUGAGUGCCACGCACUCUUCAUUUCUCUCAGUUUCCACCUCAAGUUCCACACCCUUCAUGGAGCCUUCUUUGAUGUCCUGCCUGGAUUCUUUGAAGAGGCCACUACCUUGAACUCUCGUCUUCACUCAAGUUCUGAACCAAAUGAAAAGAUAGACCAUAAAUCAGCAGAUGGGAGUGAAAACAUCACCUUUAUUACCAACAGAGGAUGGCCUGAAGAAGAUGGCUUAUAUCUGUAGAUGAGAAUUCCUGUGGAGGAAAGACACAGCCUUUCAUCCCAAGUGGUCAGAGAAUCUUCUCAAGUCAAAUAUGCAGACCGUAAUAUGCCUGAACAUUGGUAUUAUCCUCCCACAGCAUGGCUGGACAAGCAGUGCUUAGGUCCGCACCCAGGAUCCGAACCAGCGAACCCUGGGCCACCAAAGUGGAACAUGCGAACUUAACCACUGCACCACGGAGCUGGCCCCUUAGGUUGCAGCUAUAUGGCCAUGUUCGAGGAAGUUGAAGAGGAAACAAAUAAUGAAGUAUUCAAUAAAUGAAUAUUUCUAAAAAGCAGGCGAGCAUGGAGCUAAUAACUCAACACGAAAUUUUCCUUGGAAAAGGAGAAGUAAAUGAGAAGUAAGGGAUGAUGGAGGCCAUCAGUUAUUUUGAGGUGAUGAAACAGGUGGACAUGCAAGCGACUACUGAGAGUAUAUUGAUAUCUUCAUUAGGACACAAGACCUGCCUCAUAAUUUGGAUGGCCAAGUGCAGAACAAAAAUGAAGAGCCUAUAUUUCAAAAAUUAAGAAUUUCAGGAAGGUAACAACAGAACUUUAGGACUUUAAGCCAAAUGUGGGC